Molecule: long non-coding RNA, 1156 nt
Filed under: Ursus americanus (American black bear)
Lineage: Eukaryota; Metazoa; Chordata; Mammalia; Carnivora; Ursidae
Description: lncRNA (ENSUAMG00000022653.1)
Source: RNAcentral
GCAGAGUUUCAGUUUUGCAAGAUGAGAAGAGUUUUGGAGACAAAUGGUGGGGAGGGUUACGCAACAACGAGGAUGUGCUUCAUGCCACUGACAUGUACACUUAAUGGUCAAGAUGGUAAAUUUCAUGUUUUGUGGAUCUUACCACAGUUUUAAAAAUUGGAAAAAGAUAGGAAGUAAAUCUCAACAAGUGCUAUGUUUGCAUGUGAUACAAAAUGAACAAACAUAUGUACCUGGCUGUUGAUAGAGCUAGGAUACUGAGACCCUCUAGAUCUUUUAACUUAGAGAAAACUGUCUUUAAAAUUUAUUUUGGCCUGAAGAACACUAAACAGUUGGGAUAGUGGUCACGAAUCCUACUUUUUACUACAUGGAAAUAAAUCAAAAUGUGCAGAAAAAUGAGUGAAUAAGAGAUAAGUGUUUAUAUUGGUUAUUAGUGUUUUUAAUUCCUCAUGAACUGUAAACCCUAGAUUCACGUAGACCUAGCUUUAUUUUGGAAACUAGACACUGAAAUAGAGCACCUGUGCUGAAGAUAGCCACGAUUUUAUUCAUCUCAUUUGGAGACUUGACACUUUCAGAAUGAAAGCAGCAAAUACGACAAAUAUGACUGCAUGAAGACAAAAGCCUAAAAAUUUUUGAAUAUCGAAAUAAUGUCGGAAACGAUGUUUUGCAUUUUGGAGAUAUGAUGCCAUGGAAAGAGAGCGACGCUGGAAAUCACUUAACGGUGGUGCUGCCACUUCACGACCCACCACUGAGCACUGUCAAGUCAGCACUGGGACCAGGAACGACAGAGGAUCCAGACCCAGGCCAGGAUCUCCCUUGAGGGCUGUGAGGUGGUCAAGAUCUGGCAAUAUACAAGCUGGGUUCAAAAGGAAGCAUCAGGGUCGACCACAGGCCUGUUCAUAGCUGGUCUGGCGCUGCAGGACGAGCCGCGUCUUAUGACCUUGUCAACUAGCAGCAGCCCCCUGUAGCACGUGUAAGCUAAACAUCUCAUGGUUGAAGCUGGAGCCUUUGUGGUCAGAGGGACACCUGCCUGCAGCCCAUGAGCACCCAACAGAGUCUCCUAACACAGGGACGUAGCUGGACUUAUGCACACACCUGCAGCCUCACAGGGCACACCACCAGUGACUCUCCUGUCCUUAUGGCAGGAGAGGCCUUUACC